Molecule: long non-coding RNA, 487 nt
Organism: Momordica charantia (bitter melon)
Lineage: Eukaryota; Viridiplantae; Streptophyta; Magnoliopsida; Cucurbitales; Cucurbitaceae
Source: RefSeq, a predicted model, not a curated record
UUAAACUCUAAUAAAUUUGUUUGGCCUUAAUUUUAUUUGCAGGUUAUAGUACAACAUACUAAAACUCUACUUCCUAGGCUGAACUUGAAGUCACCUAGAAGUUCUAUUUGGUUUCUGUUGUUAAAGAGCAUGCCAGUUGUGGAGAAAUAACAUAAUCAAAGGUUAUAGUACAACAUACUAAAACUCUACUUCCUAGGCUGAAUUUGAAGUCACGUAUAAGUUGUGCUUUGAUUUCUGUUGCCAAAGAGCAUGCCGGGAGAAAUAACAUAAUCAAAGCAUUUUGUCUUAUGGUUGAGGAAAGAAGGAAGAAAUGUCAACGCACGAACUCUCAGGUGUGCAUUCACUAUAUUUUCCAAUCAAUCUCCCUGAAGAGUUAGAGGUAUGUAUGUUUGUUAUUACAGACUUUAGUUUUCAUUAGAUUGAAUACGGUAAUUUUUUUUAUCUGACAUUCUCGAUGGGGACAUUUGCCUUACCCACUGUUAAUACA